RNAcentral lists this ribosomal RNA (460 nucleotides) under uncultured bacterium. RNAcentral's name for it is "partial 16S ribosomal RNA". It matches the Rfam family "Bacterial small subunit ribosomal RNA", at positions 338 to 795 of the family's 1533-position model. The record is from RNAcentral.
CCUACGGGUGGCAGCAGUGAGGCAUAUUGGUCAAUGGACGAGAGUCUGAACCAGCCAAGUAGCGUGAAGGAUGACUGCCCUCUGGGUUGUAAACUUCUUUUAUAUGGGAAUAAAACGUUCCACGUGUGGGAUUUUGUAUGUACCAUAUGAAUAAGGCUCGGCUAACUCCGUGCCAGCAGUCGCGGUAAUUCAGCGGAUUCGAGCGUUAUCCGGAUUUAUUGGGUUUAAAGGGAGCGUAGGUGGAUUGUUAAGUCAGUUGUGAAAGUUUGCGGCUCAACCGUAAAAUUGCAGUUGAAACUGGCAGUCUUGAGGACAGUAGAGGUGGGCGGAAUUCGUGGUGUAGCGGUGAAAUGCGUAGAUAUCACGAAGAACGCCGAUGGCGAAGGCAGUUCACUGGACUGCAACUGACACUGAGGCUCGAAAGUGUGGGUAUCAAACAGGAGUAGAUACCCGAUUAGUC